Long non-coding RNA from Eurytemora carolleeae, 304 nucleotides. RefSeq lists it as uncharacterized. NCBI's taxonomy places the organism in Eukaryota, Metazoa, Arthropoda, Copepoda, Calanoida, Temoridae. The record is from RefSeq and is a predicted model, not a curated record. The transcript is spliced from 3 exons.
UCUUGCUUUGCUCAAAUAUAAUAUCAAAGGUUGUAAUGAUAAUCGGGUUGUAAUGAUAAUAGGAGUUUAAACAUCUUAGUUUGUGGCAAUAAUAAGUGUGAUAUUUGUGUUUAGAUUUUACGAGUUGUUUGAUCUACUUGAUAGUUUUAUCCUCUAUCCUUGGUAUUGUUGGUCUUGCUAGCCUGUUUGUGGGUUUGUUUGCUUCUGAUGGUUCCUACUAUAUUAUGAGAAUGGUUUACUCAGGUUUAGGUGUACUUGUUGUAUCAUUUUCUUUAAUCUACGAUACUCAGCUUAUUCUGAUAGG